RNAcentral lists this ribosomal RNA (443 nucleotides) under Sparus aurata (gilthead seabream). RNAcentral's name for it is "partial small subunit ribosomal RNA". It matches the Rfam family "Bacterial small subunit ribosomal RNA", at positions 7 to 794 of the family's 1533-position model. The record is from RNAcentral. Lineage: Eukaryota; Metazoa; Chordata; Actinopteri; Spariformes; Sparidae.
CAAAGGUUUGGUCCUGACUUUUCUACCAGCUCUAGCUAAACUUACACAUGCAAGUAUCCGCGCCCCCGUGAGAAUGCCCUAUAGUUCCCUGCCCGGGAACAAGGAGCUGGUAUCAGGCACAUAAACCUAGCCCACGACGCCUUGCUCAGCCACACCCUCAAGGGUACUCAGCAGUGAUAAACAUUGACCCAUAAGUGAAAACUUGACUCAGUUAAAGCUAAGAGGGCCGGUAAAACUCGUGCCAGCCACCGCGGUUAUACGGGAGGCCCAAGUUGUUAGAAGUCGGCGUAAAGGGUGGUUAAGAACAAGCUUAAAAUUAAAGCCGAACACCUUCCGAGCUGUUAUACGCAUCCGAAGGUAAGAAGCUCAAUUACGAAAGUAGCUUUAUAAUUUCUGAACCCACGAAAGCUAGGACACAAACUGGGAUUAGAUACCCCACUAUG